Molecule: ribosomal RNA, 274 nt
Filed under: uncultured bacterium
Lineage: Bacteria
Description: partial 16S ribosomal RNA
Rfam family: Bacterial small subunit ribosomal RNA
Source: RNAcentral
AUACAGAGGGUGCAAGCGUUAUUCGGAAUCACUGGGCGUAAAGGGUGCGUAGGCGGUUUGAUAAGUCUGAUGUGAAAUCCUAUGGCUCAACCAUAGAACUGCAUUGGAAACUGUCAGACUAGAAUACUGAAGGGGCAGAUGGAAUUAGUGGUGUAGGGGUAAAAUCCGUAGAUAUCACUAGGAAUACCGAAAGCGAAAGCGAUCUGCUGGGAAGUUAUUGACGCUGAGGCACGAAAGCGUGGGGAGCAAACGGAAUUAGAAACCCUAGUAGUCC